CAUACCUAUUCGAAGGGAUAGGGUCGGUUUGGCCGGAUUUCACACAGGUGUUGCAUGGCUGUCGUCAGCUCGUGUCGUGAGAUGUUGGGUUAAGUCCCGCAACGAGCGCAACCCUCAUCCUUAGUUACCAUCAGGUUAUGCUGGGGACUUUAAGGAAACUGCCAGUGAUAAACUGGAGGAAGGUGGGGAUGAUGUCAAGUCAUCAUGGCCCUUAUGGAGUGGGCUACACACGUGCUACAAUGGUGAUUACAAUGGGCUGCAAGGUCGCAAGGCUGAGCUAAUCCUAAAAAAUCAUCUCAGUUCGGAUUAUUCUCUGCAACUCGAGAGCAUGAAGUUGGAAUCGCUAGUAAUCGUGGAUCAGCAUGCCACGGUGAAUACGUUCUCGGGUCUUGUACACACUGCCCGUCACGCCAUGGGAAUUGGUUUCACUCGAAGCU
This 437-nucleotide ribosomal RNA is filed under the name Wolbachia endosymbiont of Chaitophorus saliniger. RNAcentral describes it as "bacterial SSU rRNA". It matches the Rfam family "Bacterial small subunit ribosomal RNA", at positions 992 to 1428 of the family's 1533-position model. Lineage: Bacteria; Pseudomonadati; Pseudomonadota; Alphaproteobacteria; Rickettsiales; Anaplasmataceae. The record is from RNAcentral.